AAGGUGGUAAAGUGAGACUCUGUCUCUACAAAAAAACAAAAACAAAAACAAAACAAACAAAAAAACCCCAGAAAAAUUAGUUGACUGUGGUGGUGUGUUUCUGUAGUCCCAGCUACUUGGGAGACUGAGGCAGGAGUUUGCAGUGAGCUACAAUGAUGCCACUGCACUCCAGCCAGGGCAACAGUGCAAAAAAAGAGAGAGAAAAAAAAAGAAAAAACAAUGAGAGGGAUAAAGCCAUAGUUAUCCUUAACUACUUUAAUGGUAUCUUUCUUUACCCAUAAGCUUAGAAGUUUUACACUGUCAAAUCUGCCUGUGGCCUUUGGGGAUUUGUGACAUGCUACCUCAAGAUUAUUAUAAAAUAUUCUCUUGUACUUCUUUCUGUUAUAGUUGUGUAUUUUCAAUUUAUAUCUUUAUCUUUUUUUUUGAGACAGAACCUCAAGCUGUCGCCCUGGGUAGAGUGCUGUGGCAUCACAACUCACAGCAACCUUCAACUCUUGGGCUUAAGUGAUUCUCUUGCCUCAGCCUCCCAGAUAUCUGGGCUACAGGCACCUGCCACAAUACCCAGCUAUUUUUUGGUUGUAGUUGUCAUUAUUGUUUGGUGGGCCCACGCUGGAUUUGAACCCGCCAGCUCUGGUGUAUGUGGCUGGAGCCUUAGGCGCUUGAGCUACAGGCACCGAGCCUUACAUCUUUAUCUUAACUGCAGUUUAUUUUUGGGUAUGGUGAGAAGUAGUAAGACAUGCCAGACUUAAAAGGGACUGGUGAUACAGUGGCUGAGGUACCAGUGUAGAAGUCAGAAAGUGGCCUAGGCGUGCUCCUUUGCCGCCUCUAUAAUCUUGGACAAAUUAGUUCACCCUCUCUGGGCCCAAGAAUCCUGAUCUUGAAAAUGAGAAUAACGAGUAAACACCUAUUCAGGCCUGCAGAGCCAGGUCCAGAGGAGACGCGCACAGCUUGCAUUGCCUGCGCUCUACUUUCACAGCAGCUAGUGAAAUCUUCUCUGUCCUGUGCACAAUGGCAACUCUUAAGGAAAAACUCAUUGCACCAGUUGCAGAAGAAGCAGCAGUGGUUCCAAACAAUAAGAUCACUAUAGUGGGUGUUGGACAAGUUGGCAUGGCGUGUGCUAUCAGCAUUCUGGGAAAGUCCCUGGCUGAUGAACUUGCUCUUGUGGAUGUUCUGGAAGAUAAGCUUAAAGGAGAAAUGAUGGAUCUGCAGCAUGGGAGCUUGUUUCUUCAGACAUCUAAAAUUGUGGCAGAUAAAGCUUACUCUGUGACUGCCAAUUCUAAGAUCGUGGUAGUAACUGCAGGCGUCCGUCAGCAAGAGGGGGAGAGUCGUCUCAUUCUGGAACAGGGAAAUGUUAACGUCUUCAAGUUCAUUAUUCCUCAGAUGGUCAAGUUCAGUCCUGAUUACAUCAUAAUUGUGGUUUCCAAUCCAGUGGACAUUCUUACAUAUGUUACCUGGAAACUAAGUGGAUUACCCAAACACCGUGUGAUUGGAAGUGGGUGUAACCUGGAUUCUGCUAGAUUUCGCUAUUUUAUGGCUGAAAAACUUGGCAUUCAUCCCAGCAGCUGCCACGGAUGGAUUUUGGGAGAACAUGGCGACUCAAGUGUGGCUGUGUGGAGUGGAGUAAAUGUGGCAGGUGUUUUCUCUCCAGGAAUUGAAUCCAGAAAUGGGAACAGACAAUGAUAGUGAAAAUGAAGGAAGUCCAUAAGAUGGUAGUUGAGAGUGCCUAUGAAGUCAUCAAGCUAAAAGGAUAUACUAAUUGGGCGAUCGGAUUAAGUAUAGCUGAUCUUAUUGAAUCCAUGCUGAAAAAUCUGUCCAGGAUUCACCCAGAAUCAACAGCGGUGAAGGGGAUGUACAGUAUUGAGAAUGAAGUCUUCCUGAGCCUUCCGUGUAUCCUCAAUGCUCAGGGAUUAACUAGCGUCAUCAACCAGAAACUAAAGGAUGAAGAGGUUGCUCAGCUCAAGAAAAGUGCAGAUACCCUGUGGGACAUCCAAAAGGACCUGAAAGACCUGUGACUACUGAACGCUAGGCUGUAGGAAUUAAAAAACCACAAUCUGAUUAACCCUGAGCCUUUAGCUUUCAUCCAGGUACAUGGAUCAUAGUUUGCUUUUAUCUUCCUGAAUAUGUGAAUUUGGGCUCACAGAAUCAAAGCCCAGGCUUGAUUUAAUGCUUGCAAAAGGAGCCCUUGAACAAAUAAAAUUAACUAUCUUAGUGUGAAAAAAAAAAAAAAACCUAUUCAGAUGAAUUUCUGGUAUGCCUGUGAGGAUCAAAUGUGGUAAUUGAUGACAAGGCCUUGAGAAAGAAAAAAGAAAAAAACUUUGCAAAUCUAAAUUAUCACUACUAUAGGCUCAGCUCCUGUAGCUCAGUGGGUAGGGUGCUGGCCACAUACACUAAGGCUGACGGGUUCGAACCCAGCCUGGGCCAGCUAAAAUCAAUAAUGACAACUACAAUAAGGAAAAAAAAAUAGCCUGGUGUUGUGGCAGGAGCCUGUAGUCCCAGCUACUUGGGAGACUGAGGCAAGAGAAUCGCUUAACUCAAGAGUUGGAAGUUGCUGUGAGCUAUGACGCCACAGCACUCUGAGACAUAAUGAGACUCUGUCUCAAAAAAUAAAUAAAUAAAUAAUCAUUACUAUGGAUUCUUGGUUGAUGAAAAUUGAAUGUAAGUGGAAUGCAGCAUUAUUUUUCAGUACCUGUAAAUUGUGGAUUGAUUCAACAAAUGUUUAUUGGAUGCCUUUGUUAAGACCCUGGGAGAGGCUGGGCAGUGGCUCACAUCUGUAAUCCCAGCACUCUGGGAAACUGAGACAGGUGGAUUGCCUGAGCUCACAAGAGUUCAAGACCAGCCUGAGCAAGAGUGAUCCUCCCCCCCUAAAAAUAGCCAGGUGUUGUGGCAGGCCACAACGACAACAACAAAAAGACCCUGGGAGAGGGACAAGGAAAAAGAGAAAGAUGGAAACUUUACAUUUUGGGUGGUGCCUGUUUUAUUCUGGUUUACUUAAUAAAGGAUAAGACCUAGUUCUCUCCGCCCAGGAAUGUGCUGUCUAGAAACUGAGAAAACCGGUACAAGUAUUCAGCACAUAAUAGAUACUGAAUAGUAAGAGAGUUUGUACUCUAUUACUGGGGUGUGGAGCCAGUGGGGUUUCUUGAUAAGCAGAUACUAUGAAGGUCAAUGUUUUAACUUAUUUUGUAACAAUAAACCUGGCUGAUAGCACUUCAAAAGGCUUCGCCUAGAAUCCUUUGCCCCCAGGCAGGCCUUCUCCUGUGUGACCUUCCCUACCCCCUUUUUCCCUCUGGCCCACCCCAUCAUUCAUUCAGAUAGCAUCAUAAAGAUUCCUGAUCUGUCUUUUCCUGCACUGGCUCUCUAUCUGGUUAGGGAAAGCCUGAGUGUUUUCUCCUUGAGCCUGCCUUGGGCCAGUUGAGCAGGGCUAACAAGUUCUGACUUACCUUGGUGAGCGUUCCACUUCGUUGUGGAGAUCAUGCCAGUCUCCCUGGCUGGCCUGUUAGCUGGAGCCCACAGGGCAGACGCAGCACCUGGGGUAAUGCCAGCCAAGUACACAGAAGUAGACACUCAGUCAAUGUUUGCUGAACAAGCUGAACCCAUUUCCCUCCCUGAGAGCCUGUGGGGAGGUGGAGUGAGGGGGUUGUG
Nycticebus coucang (slow loris) is the source of this 3639-nucleotide RNA transcript. It is a transcript of the gene named L-lactate dehydrogenase B chain-like, with no coding region annotated. Lineage: Eukaryota; Metazoa; Chordata; Mammalia; Primates; Lorisidae. The transcript has a single exon. The record is from RefSeq and is a predicted model, not a curated record.